RNAcentral lists this long non-coding RNA (345 nucleotides) under Linum usitatissimum (flax). RNAcentral's name for it is "long non-coding RNA (LUSI_LNC001181)". Lineage: Eukaryota; Viridiplantae; Streptophyta; Magnoliopsida; Malpighiales; Linaceae. The record is from RNAcentral.
GAUGCCAUCGAGGAGCCUCUCGAUCCUUCCUCUUUCAAGCUCAACGAUCUCCCUUUGACCCAGACUGAAUCCCUAUCCACCUCAGAUCCCAGUCCUUCCUCAUCUUCCGACCACCCCAAUUCCAAACCUGCUUCCACUGAAUCUGAUGUUUCCAAAUCCAAACCCGAUUCUCCGUCUACUAAAACUUCCAGCUUGGACUACUGGGACGAAGACGAGUUCGAAGGUCUCCCGAAUCAGCCUCAAAAUCCAGCUGUUGAUAAUACUCCAAUCACUCCCUCAACUACUGAAGGAAGUAAAACAUCAUAUCCGAAUUCGAAGGAGGCUAGCGAGGGUGUUCCCAAGAGG